GCUGGGGCCGACCCCAGAUAGACCCAGGAAUGGAGAGCUGGAGCCCCCGGCCACUUUUUGCGGAUCGACCCUUAACUUCAACGUUGUGAAUCCGGAGCGUCGGGAUGGUGGGGAAGACUGAAACCCAUUGGAUCUGGGGACUUGCUGCAGCGACUCCGUCCGCGCGCUGUUCCUGGGGCCCAAGCCUGCUCCGCGCGCUGUUCCUGGGACCCAAGCCUGCUCCGCGCGCGCCCCCUGCUGGACACCGCUUGCCGGGCGCAGAGGCGGAUCAAUGGCGGAGGGUGCCGGCUGGGCGAGGAAGAUGUGGCUGGAACCCUGCACCAAGGCGAGCGCUGCCCGCGGCUCUGCAGUCCUGCGGCGCGAUACUCCAGUGGGGCGCGCUUAACCAAAGUCCCGAGGCUUUACUUCCCGUGCCCACCCAGUCUAUGUCCCAGGGGGAAAAAAAAUCCACAUUUGCCUAUGAGAAGACUGUUGAUUUCAGAGGAAAGUAGCAACCCGUGGCAGUUUGCUGGAGGCAACUGAGAGGAAUUUUCUGAAUGGUUCUAAUGAAGCUCGACAUUAUUAAUAAUCUGGGAUCCAGCCCAUGACCCUCCUCCCAGCAUUUUCAUGAAAUUAGCUUAACGUACUGGCAAGGCCUUUUAUUGCCAUCCAAAUUAACAACAGCUCUUCCAGUGGCAGCUCAUGUAAUUAUCUGGGUCUGUGCUUGUCUCACUGAAUAAGAGGAACUCCUGCCUGGAAGAGGCAAUACUCCUACAUUCAAGGGGGAACCUGGCCUAGCAAGAUGGCUCAUGCCUGUAAUCCCAGCACUUUGGGAUGCCAAGGUAGGAGGAGUAUUUGAGCCCAGGAGUUUAAGACCAGCUUGGGCAACAGAGUGAGACCUCAUCUCUACAUUUUUUUUAAUUAGUUGGGCAUGGUGGCGCACACCUGUGGUCCCAGCUACUCUGGAGGGAGACUGAGACCAGAGGAUUGCUUGAGCCCAGGAGGUUGAGGCAGCCAUGAGCCAUGAUCACACCACUGCACUCCAGUCUGGGCAACAGAGUGAGACCCUGUCUCAAACAAACAAACAAACAAAAAACCAUAAAAACCCCAAAAAACAAGUAAGGGGGGCGGGGUGCAAAAUGCUUGGCAGUCCCACCCCAGUUCAGG
Molecule: long non-coding RNA, 1146 nt
Filed under: Macaca mulatta (Rhesus monkey)
Lineage: Eukaryota; Metazoa; Chordata; Mammalia; Primates; Cercopithecidae
Description: lncRNA (ENSMMUG00000049712.1)
Source: RNAcentral